UACGUAGGUGGCAAGCGUUGUCCGGAAUUACUGGGUGUAAAGGGAGCGCAGGCGGGGAGACAAGUCAGCUGUGAAAACUAUGGGCUUAACCCAUAAACUGCAGUUGAAACUGUUUUUCUUGAGUGGAGUAGAGGUAGGCGGAAUUCCGAGUGUAGCGGUGAAAUGCGUAGAUAUUCGGAGGAACACCAGUGGCGAAGGCGGCCUACUGGGCUCUAACUGACGCUGAGGCUCGAAAGUGUGGGGAGCAAACAGG
This 253-nucleotide ribosomal RNA is filed under the name uncultured bacterium. Its description in RNAcentral is "partial 16S ribosomal RNA". It matches the Rfam family "Bacterial small subunit ribosomal RNA", at positions 524 to 776 of the family's 1533-position model. RNAcentral also lists the same sequence under 1 other name. The record is from RNAcentral.